This 203-nucleotide long non-coding RNA is filed under the name Elaeis guineensis (African oil palm). RNAcentral describes it as "long non-coding RNA (EGUI_LNC008240)". Lineage: Eukaryota; Viridiplantae; Streptophyta; Magnoliopsida; Arecales; Arecaceae. The record is from RNAcentral.
UUCCUAAAUCAUUCUUGCUCCUCCAUUCAUAAUUUGAAAUUUGAAUUCUUGGCAAAAUUUAAAGAAAGAAGGGCCUUACAGGAAUCCCUUCAUUCUCAAUCAUUUUUGUUCCCUUAUCUAUAUUCAAAAUUUAAUUUACAAUUUUGGUAGGAUCCAAACAAGGAAAAUCAUGAUGGAUUAAAAUCUUUCAAAUUUUGCUCCCU